GUGAGGAAUAUUGGUCAAUGGGCGCAAGCCUGAACCAGCCAUCCCGCGUGAAGGAAGAAGGCCCUACGGGUUGUAAACUUCUUUUCUGUUUGAAGAAUAAGCUUGUCGAGACAAGUGAUGCCGGUAGGACAGGAAUAAGCAUCGGCUAACUCCGUGCCAGCAGCCGCGGUAAUACGGAGGAUGCAAGCGUUAUCCGGAUUUAUUGGGUUUAAAGGGUGCGCAGGUGGUUGGAUAAGUCAGUGGUGAAAGUCUGGCGCUUAACGUUAGGAUUGCCAUUGGUACUGUUGGACUUGAAUAUGGAUGAGUUAGGCGGAAUGUGUAGUGUAGCGGUGAAAUGCUUAGAGAUUACACAGAACACCGAUUGCGAAGGCAGCUUACUAAUCCAUUAUUGACGCUGAGGCACGAAAGCGUGGGGAUCAAACGGGAUUAGAUACCCGUGUAGUCC
Molecule: ribosomal RNA, 445 nt
Filed under: uncultured bacterium
Lineage: Bacteria
Description: partial 16S ribosomal RNA
Rfam family: Bacterial small subunit ribosomal RNA
Source: RNAcentral